AUGCAUUGGUUUGCAUGGUGGAAAUUAUGCAUCCCGAAGAAUAAGGGUGGAUUGGGGUUUAGGGACUUACACAGUCUUAAUCUUGCUUCAUUAGCAAAACAGUGUUGGCGCCUACUCCAGAACCCUGAAUCUUUGUGUGCACGAGUUCUAGGUGCAAAGUACUAUCCUGAUGGAAACAUUCUCAUGGCAGGACCAAAAAAGGGCUCCUCCUUUACUUGGCAAAGUAUUAUAGCGGGUAUACAAACUUUUAAGAGAGGGUGCAUCUGGCGUGUGGGUACGGGAUCACAAAUCAACAUCUGGAAUGACCCUUGGAUACCCACAAGUGAUAAUAGGAAAAUCAUAACUCCAAGGGGAGCAACUAUGUUGAGCAAGGUGGAGGAAUUAAUUGAUCCUUAUACUGGACAAUGGGAUGAGGAUUUGAUCCGAGAAGUGUUUUGGCAGGUUGAUGUACACCGGAUCCUACAAAUUCCUCUCCGAGUGCAGCUGCUUGAAGACUUUGUAGCAUGGCACUAUGAUCGAUCUGGUACUUUUAAUGUGCGAUCAGCAUAUCGUGUGCAAUUUCAGCAUCAGUUUGGGGGCAGGGAGAAUCAACAUAUAGCACAAGGUAGCCGGCAAAACAAUAUCUGGAAACGUGUGUGGGGUUUGAGAAUUCCGGGUAAAGUUAAACAUUUCUUCUGGAAGGUGAUCCGGGGAGUUUUACCAUGCUAUGGAACUUUAGCAAACCGGCAUAUACCAGUCACGGGACAAUGCCCAAUAUGCCAGAUAGGAUACGAAGAUACACAACACUGUUUAUUCACAUGUAGAAGAGCGAAAGCUAUAUGGAAGGAGCUGGGAAUU
This 837-nucleotide ribosomal RNA is filed under the name Triticum aestivum (bread wheat). RNAcentral describes it as "partial small subunit ribosomal RNA". The record is from RNAcentral. Lineage: Eukaryota; Viridiplantae; Streptophyta; Magnoliopsida; Poales; Poaceae.